RNAcentral lists this ribosomal RNA (113 nucleotides) under Panthera tigris altaica (Amur tiger). The record is from RNAcentral. Lineage: Eukaryota; Metazoa; Chordata; Mammalia; Carnivora; Felidae.
GACAUUUGGUAGAGACUGUUGAACCCACCUGGUCCCAGCAGACCCCAGAGAAUAGCUAUAUUCGCUAGUGGUGGAACAGGGUCAUUAAAGGUGAAGGCUGGUGCCAGAUGUGU